GACGAACGCUGGCGGCGUGCUUAACACAUGCAAGUCGAACGAUGAAGAAAAGAAUCGCAGCUUCGGCGGAAAUUCAUUUCGGAUUAGUGGCAGACGGGUGAGUAACGCGUGAGCAACCUACCUCUUACAAAGGGAUAGCCUCGGGAAACCGGGAUUAAUACCAUAUAACAUUGUGACGAAGCAUUUCGAUGCAAUCAAAGCUACGGCGGUAAGAGAUGGGCUCGCGUCCCAUUAACCGGAUGGUGAGGUAACGGCUCACCAUAGUGACGAUGGGUAACCGGCCUGAGAGGGUGAACGGUCACACUGGAACUGAGACACGGUCCAGACUCCUACGGGAGGCAGCAGUGGGGAAUAUUGCACAAUGGAGGGAACUCUGAUGCAGCGACGCCGCGUGAGUGAUGAAGGAAUUCGUUUUGUAAAACUCUGUUCUAUGGGAAGAAAAGGACUGUACCAUAGGAGAAAGCUCCGGCUAAAUACGUG
RNAcentral lists this ribosomal RNA (480 nucleotides) under uncultured bacterium. RNAcentral's name for it is "partial 16S ribosomal RNA". It matches the Rfam family "Bacterial small subunit ribosomal RNA", at positions 28 to 507 of the family's 1533-position model. The record is from RNAcentral.